RNA transcript from Hylaeus volcanicus, 3762 nucleotides. RefSeq lists it as uncharacterized. The transcript has 10 exons. The record is from RefSeq and is a predicted model, not a curated record. NCBI's taxonomy places the organism in Eukaryota, Metazoa, Arthropoda, Insecta, Hymenoptera, Colletidae.
ACCGGGACGCAACAGUCGCUCGCCAGACUUCGUGCUGGACGGUUCGAUGUGUCGACCGAAGAAGGUCCCGCGCGUCUUGUGACACUCUGUGAUUCCUAUCCCCUAAGGCGACCUGUUACGGAACGCCGGCCGAGGGAACGGUGCAGCAGACCACGGUGCUCGGGGAGUCCAGAGUCCUCGUCAGAAAAACAGCAGGAAACGUUGCAACUGUUCGCUAUAUUUCUUCGCCAAUGGAGUAGAAGUGGACCAAGAAGAUGGAGAUAGGAGAAGGACCGUCGCUGUAAUAGAUGACCCGUAGGUCGUCCAGAAUUCCUGGAUCGUUUGUACCCUUCGAAAGAACCUUCCCGAUAUACUCGAGAUGACGAUAACGGCGUCCACGGAGAGAAUGGAGACGAAGGACCUGCCCAGAAAGAAGUUCAUCAACUCUAAUCUGUUGUCGCUGAAGCUUUUAUUGUUCCUUUUUUUCGGCGGAAUGGGUUGCCUCUUCCCGUUUCUCCCGCUGCACAUGAUGGAAAUGGGCCUGAGCAUGGACCAGAUACGAAUGAUCUCGAUGAUCUCGCCAGCGGUAGCGAUACUAGGUCCACUGGUCGCUGGGCCGAUCGCUGACAAGCUGGCAGGCCAUCAGGGUCGAAACGAGAAGUCCUCAACGGGCCGUUACCUCAGGAUAAUGAUCGCCAUCGCCUGCGUCCUGUCCGCCAUUUUCUACGCCUUCCUUCUAAUCAUCCCCACAGUGGAAUCCGAUGGAUUGGACAGUGUCCUGCCUCGCAGGGAAAGGAGACCCAGUGUAAAGUUCAACUGCGAUCCGGCUGGCGCUGUCGUGCUGCAAGAGAGAUGCAAGGACCGUGGAUUGUGCCACAGAUGGUCGGACGAGACCAGAGUCGGUCCUUUGCUCCUGACGGGAUGCAACUACGCUUGCUACCCUGUAGGCUCCAAACGAUGGAGAGUGGAAGACUCGGAGGGCUCUGUCGGCUUUGGGACCACCGAUUCGGACGUCAAUGGGCUCGAUGGCAGUGGCGACACCACAGUUAUCCCUCUGGAGAGCGAAAUGUAUGCGCAGGAGCCAGAGGAUGCCAAGAAGACGCGAAGAUUCGUGACAGACGACAGCGAACCACCUCAUUUAUGCUUCAAAGAAGGCGACAACGUGGUGUGCCACGUUUACACCGAGUACACAGGCACUUUGCCUGUGAACGCCACUCUGGGGCAGGCCUCCAGCAACAGCAGCGAUCGAGAUUGGUGCGCGUAUCCCCUAGCUGAGUACUUUACCUGUCGAAUACCCCCUGAACUGAGAGCUAGAAUGGCGGAGGUCUAUCAGAGCUGUUCCAUCGAAUGCGACUUGGUCGAUCCAUACACUCUACCAGACAGCGUCCUGGUGGAGAGCCAGUGCCAGCAGACAGAGGACUGGUCGCACCUGGUGUUUUGGACGUACUUGGCCAUCCGGUCAGCCGCUGACAUUUUCCCGACGACAGCUGUGGCCCUGAUCGAUGCUGCCGUAGUGAUAGCCACGAGGGAGACGUCUUGUGGACGCGGCGACGUCGGUCGCCAAUUGGCCUUUGGCUCCCUCGGCUUCGCAAUCUUUGGCCCUCUAACUGGCUAUCUUUCCACUCUGAUAGACAACUUGAACUCCUUCUACUACCUACCCAUCGGCCUGCACGCCGCGCUGAUGCUUCUAGCGGCUCUCGUUGCCCUCUGCGCCGAUGGGAUGCCUCUCAGUCCCCCGGAGUGGUGGUGGCACACCAGGAGUGGCAUGCUAGCGCUUCCCAUGAGUGCCAUCAAGAGAUACGGCAGCGAAACUGCCGCCCUGGUCAUCGUCCUCAUCGUCAUGGGAACCUUCUGGAGCGCCAUGGACAGCUAUCUUCCUUUACACUUGCAGAAACUGGGGGGCAACGAGCUUCCCAUCGGCGUGGCUAUGACCGUGGGAGCGGUGCCAUCGUUCUUAUUCCUCUGGAAGUCCGAGCACCUAGUCGAUUAUUGCGGUCACAGCAAUCUCCUGAUCACUGCCUUCACCGUGUAUAUCAUUAGGUUUACUGGACUGAGUCUCGUCGCGGGACCUUGGUGGUCCUUGAUUUCCGAGGCGCUCGAGGUCUUCACAUUGGGAAUUAUGUGGGUCACUGCCAUCCUCUAUCUGAGACACUUGGUCCCGCGUCAUUUGACUGUCACUGCUCAAGCGCUGCCUGUGAUUGCGCACUUUUGCGUUGGUCGAUGCAUCGGAGCCGUGAUUGGUGCUUACAUCAACGUCGACGACUCUGACAUCGUCGAUUCGUUGAGAUUCGUUUAUCGUUGCAUGGCCGUCGCGGCAGCAGGCGUUGCCGCCUUGUAUUUCAUCUUGUAUCACGGCUUAUUGAAGCCACGGUGCCAUGCACACAAUAUACAGGGUCCACGGCAACCGCCUACCGUUGUACAGGGUGAGCAAAUUUGUCGAUAUCUACAGCGUAGCAAGUUUCAAUUCCAUCAUUCACGAUGUUCGUUAUUCCAUAACGAUCGAUAAAUUUAUUAAUAUGUUCAUACAAACGUGACUAACGUAAAUUUCUCACGCUAGCUGCCAUCAAGGAGUACGAAUUAAGUGAGUAUCCUGGAAGCAUUCAAGUGGUUUGAGUCGGCAUUAUCCUUAUUUUUGCUAAUUUGAGAAGCAGAAUCUUUAGCAAGCGUUAAAGCAAUUGCUCCGACAUGCUGUUUAGCGAUAGAUUCAGUGCAAACUGAUGCUUGGAAGAUGUCGAAAAGUCGCUGAACUCUAGAAAAAGUGACGGACCAACCUAAGAAUUUUGUAAUCGCCAUCUACCUUAAAGUAUGGUUACUUAAAAAUUGGCAUGAACUUUCUGGAGAACCAAUAGUUCCCUUGGGAGUCGAUAUGAUGCUCCCAGCGAUUCUGCUUCAAGGAAGACGACCAUCUAGACCUCCUAGGUCACCUAGAUCUCAGGUUGGGACGUUACUUUUUACAGAGUCGGUUAAACUUUUCUGAUAACCCAACCGAUGAACGGAAACGGGAAUUACACGCCGCUCAGGGUCUACCACAACGGUAUGGGCAGAAAAGGUCAAUUCCGUUAUUGAAGAAUAGGAAAGGUCGAUUCUCCUAUCGAAGAUUAGGAGAAAAAUAUAAAGAGACUGGGCGUUAACGACACGUUAAAUGUCACGUUACGGUGCUAGCGAUUAGACUGUCGCUCCUAUUGCGAUUAAAAAAGGAAAUUGAUUGUUACACGACACUAUAGCGUUCAUCUGCAACUUAACUUUUCGUCGAAAUUUGUCACCGUUUGGUACUGUCGUUUAUUUACAAGCAGUUGUUAAGGAUUUAUUUGCUCAGGUGUACUUCAAGGCGUCGAGACGAGCUUCUACGUUUACCGAUACCGAAAUGAGAUUACGAAUCGAGAAGGUAGAAGUAGGUAGAAGUACUUUCGAAAGUUAGAAAUUCCAAACAGAUCUCGUACAUGUUAUUUUUUAUUUUUAUUUCGCAUUGUGAUCGUAGAAGCCAACCUGUUGAAUUUACGUUGCCAAUAAUGUAUGUAUUACCUUUUUUUAUGUUAAGUGAUUCGAGUAUUCAAACGUUUGCGUUCCUGGUUAUGCCGCAAUGUCUUAAUUUGAAAAUACGAAUAGAUGGAAUUAGUAGCAGUGAGCCUUCGCUUGGUUUAUAAUUCCUGAGUACUUGUACCUACGUCUCCACCAGUAGUAACAAUUUACUACGCACUCUAACUGUAACAUAUUUGUAAUGCUUUUCCAUUCUCAUAGUUUUUUGUAUUUUUUGUAAGUGUACAAGUAUAUAUUUCCCCUCGA